This 468-nucleotide ribosomal RNA is filed under the name uncultured bacterium. Its description in RNAcentral is "partial 16S ribosomal RNA". It matches the Rfam family "Bacterial small subunit ribosomal RNA", at positions 28 to 507 of the family's 1533-position model. The record is from RNAcentral.
GACGAACGCUGGCGGCGUGCUUAACACAUGCAAGUCGAACGGAAAGGCCCUGCUUUUGUGGGGUGCUCGAGUGGCGAACGGGUGAGGAACACGUGAGUAACCUGCCCUUGACUUUGGGAUAACUUCAGGAAACUGGGGCUAAUACCGGAUAGGAGCUCCUGCUGCAUGGUGGGGGUUGGAAAGUUUCGGCGGUUGGGGAUGGACUCGCGGCUUAUCAGCUUGUUGGUGGGGCAGUGGCUUACCAAGGCUUUGACGGGUAGCCGGCCUGAGAGGGUGACCGGCCACAUUGGGACUGAGAUACGGCCCAGACUCCUACGGGAGGCAGCAGUGGGGAAUAUUGCACAAUGGGCGGAAGCCUGAUGCAGCAACGCCGCGUGCGGGAUGACGGCCUUCGGGUUGUAAACCGCUUUCGCCUGUGACGAAGCGUGAGUGACGGUAAUGGGUAAAGAAGCACCGGCUAACUACGUG